Molecule: ribosomal RNA, 468 nt
Filed under: uncultured bacterium
Lineage: Bacteria
Description: partial 16S ribosomal RNA
Rfam family: Bacterial small subunit ribosomal RNA
Source: RNAcentral
GACGAACGCUGGCGGCGUGCUUAACACAUGCAAGUCGAACGGAAAGGCCCUGCUUUUUUUGUUUUCUCGUUUGGCGAUCGGGUGAGUAACACGUGUGUUACCUUCCCUUUACUUUGUUAUAUCUUCUGGUAACUUGUUCUAAUACCUGAUAUGAUCUCCUGCUGCAUUGUGUUGGUUGGUAUGUUUCGUCGGUUGGGGAUGGACUCGCGGCUUAUCAGCUUGUUGGUGGGGUAGUGGCUUACCAAGGCUUUGACGGGUAGCCGGCCUGAGAGGGUGACAGGCAAAAUUGGGACUGAGAUAGGGACCAGAAUGCUACGGGAGGCAGCAGUGGGGAAUAUUGCAAAAUGGGAGGAAGCAUGAUGAAGCAAAGCAGCGUGCGGGAUGAAGGCCUUCGGGUUGUAAACCGAAUUAGAAUGUGAAGAAGAGUGAGUGACGGUAAUGGGUAAAGAAGCAACGGCUAACUACGUG